RNAcentral lists this long non-coding RNA (202 nucleotides) under Lathyrus oleraceus (garden pea). RNAcentral describes it as "Pisum sativum (pea) long non-coding RNA (PSAT_LNC029006)". The record is from RNAcentral. Lineage: Eukaryota; Viridiplantae; Streptophyta; Magnoliopsida; Fabales; Fabaceae.
GACAUCCUGCCGAGUCCGCUUUCCCCUUUCUCCAUCUUCUUCCGUGUUCUAUUCCAGUUUUGUGCAGUUUUUGAGCAGUUUUUAUUAGAAACCUUUUCCUAUUCUUCUGAGCGUGGAUCCCGUCGAGUAUGACGGACGUGAGGGGUGCUAAUACCUUCCCCUUGCGUAACCGACUCCCGUACCUUGCAAUCUCUGGUCGUAA